CUCAACACAUGCAAGUCGAGCGGAUGAGAAGAGCUUGCUCUUCGAUUCAGCGGCGGACGGGUGAGUAAUGCCUAGGAAUCUGCCUGGUAGUGGGGGACAACGUUUCGAAAGGAACGCUAAUACCGCAUACGUCCUACGGGAGAAAGCAGGGGACCUUCGGGCCUUGCGCUAUCAGAUGAGCCUAGGUCGGAUUAGCUAGUUGGUGGGGUAAUGGCUCACCAAGGCGACGAUCCGUAACUGGUCUGAGAGGAUGAUCAGUCACACUGGAACUGAGACACGGUCCAGACUCCUACGGGAGGCAGCAGUGGGGAAUAUUGGACAAUGGGCGAAAGCCUGAUCCAGCCAUGCCGCGUGUGUGAAGAAGGUCUUCGGAUUGUAAAGCACUUUAAGUUGGGAGGAAGGGCAGUAAGCGAAUACCUUGCUGUUUUGACGUUACCGACAGAAUAAGCACCGGCUAACUCUGUGCCAGCAGCG
Molecule: ribosomal RNA, 474 nt
Filed under: Pseudomonas putida
Lineage: Bacteria; Pseudomonadati; Pseudomonadota; Gammaproteobacteria; Pseudomonadales; Pseudomonadaceae
Description: bacterial SSU rRNA
Rfam family: Bacterial small subunit ribosomal RNA
Source: RNAcentral